GCCAUUCAGAAAGGCAAUAAGCAAGCUCUAAGAAUACAUGCUGAAAAUACAGUCCACCAGAAAAAGCAAGCAAUUGAUUUCUUAAGAGUGAGUGCUAGAGUUGAUGCUGUGGCAGCCAGAGUUCAAAAUGCAGUAACAAUGGGCAGGGUAACAAGUCCAUAUGAGGCAUAGUUAAGUCUGUGGGUGCUUCAUUGAGGAGUAGAACCUUGAAAAGACUUCUGCCUUGAUGAACAAAUUCGAACACCAGUUUGAAAUAUUGGAUAUUCAAACACAACAAAUGGAAGAUAAAAUGAGUAACUCUACAACCCUAACAACACCACAAAACCAAAUGGAUAUGCUGCUUCAGGAAAUGCCAGAUGAAGCUAGGUAAGAAGUUAUCCAGGUGAUUGUGGAAAAUCUUGAUUUAGUAUCUAGAGGUUCUAAAAUGCUGUGAUAUAGAUGAAAAUAUUUCUCUUUUCCACGAAUUGCCAGAGUUAGGUUUGUGACCCUAGAAUUUAGUGUUUCAAGGGACUUUAAACAGUCAUCUAAUUCCUUGCCAUGCUCAUAAAAAUUUGACUGUGUUUCAAUCAUCUUAGUAUUUUCUUAAAAAUUUCUGGAAAUAGACUCAUUUAGUGUGUGUAAAGAAAUAGGCAAAGGUGAUCAAAGGAAGCAGGAAUGUUUAAACAAUUACCUAAUACCUACUGUUCGCUGCAUAUAUGAAAUAUAUGGUGUGUUUUGUUUUUUGUUUUUUUUAAAAAAGGACCUUCCAAAAUAAUUCUGCUGUGAUUAGGCCAUUGAGUCAUAAGUCUAGUUUGAGUACUGCAAACUGAGCAAUAUGUGCAAAAUGUGCAAGGGGCUCAAAAGACAGCAGUAUUACACAUAAUGAUUUGGUUGUUUCUUUUAAGUAAAUAGUUCAUACCCUUUUGUGAUAUUGUUAUUGGAAAUAGGGUGUAUAAUACAAGCUGUUUAUUUCAGGCCCUUCAUGUCAUGGGAGAAUGACUUAUCUAUGACAUCUUUGCUAUAGAGGUCAUGUUGUAUCAUUAUUCUCUGGUGUAAUGUUUGCUUCAAGAUAAUGUAGUAGUAAAAAAUAAAAAUUGAUGCUAAUGUUUUAUAAUUUAUUUUCAAAGGUAGAGAACUAGUUUGAAACAAGGCUUAGUCUUAUUUUGUUCUUUUCUCCUGGGAAGAGAAGAUUUGAAGACAUCUGGAAAACAGAGUAGAUAAAUACUACUCUCUUAUCUAAGCUAAUACCUGAUUAGAAUAAACAGUUAAGUUUAUCAACUCUUUCGAUCACUAAUAUAUUACUAAAGAAUUAAAAUCGAGAUUAAUAAAUUAAAAAUCAGGUUAGUAGUGUUCGAGAACAGGGCUGUGGGUUAAGUUGUGUGCUAUUUUGUUUUGUUAGUAUCCUAAAGUAGCCCAUAUAUGGAGGGGAACAAGAAAGGUGGUUUUCAUUAAAUAUUAUAACAAAGGCAUUGUGUGUCAGAAGACUCCGUCUUCUAAACAUAGUCUUUAUGAGGGACUAAGGACUUGUUUAGUUUCUGCUAAAGACUAAAUUAGACGAUUUGGCUUGAAAAUGCAACAAGGGAAGUCUUAUAAAAUGAAUGCU
Long non-coding RNA from Macaca nemestrina (pig-tailed macaque), 1582 nucleotides. The record is from Ensembl. Lineage: Eukaryota; Metazoa; Chordata; Mammalia; Primates; Cercopithecidae.